RNAcentral lists this small RNA (268 nucleotides) under Pan troglodytes (chimpanzee). Its description in RNAcentral is "Metazoan signal recognition particle RNA (ENSPTRG00000050747.1)". Lineage: Eukaryota; Metazoa; Chordata; Mammalia; Primates; Hominidae. The record is from RNAcentral.
GCCAGGCAUGGUGGCUCAUGCCUGUAAUCCCAGCACUUUAGGAGGCUGAGGUGGGUGGAUUGCUGGAGCUCAGGAAUUUGAGAUCAGCCUGGGCAACAAGGCAAAAUUCCAUCUCUACAAAAAGUACAAAAAUUAGCUGGGCCUGGUGGUGCAUGCCUGUAGUCUCAGCUACUUGGGAGGCUGAGAUGGAAGGAUCAGCCAAGGUUGUGGUAAGCCAAGAUCGUGCCAUUGCACUCCAGCCUGGGCGACAGAGCAAGAACCUGUCUCA